UGCAAGUCGAGCGGCAGCGCAGAAGCAACCCUGGCGGCGAGCGGCGGACGGGUGAGUAAUGCAUCGGAACAUAUCCCGUAGUGGGGGACAACCCAGCGAAAGCUGGGCUAAUACCGCAUAUGCUCUACGGAGGAAAGUGGGGGACCCACAAGGGCCUCACGCUGGGGGAGCGGCCGAUGUCCGAUUAGCUGGUUGGUGGGGUAAUGGCCCACCAAGACGACGAUCGGUAGCUGGUCUGAGAGGAUGAUCAGCCACACUGGGACUGAGACACGGCCCAGACUCCUACGGAAGGCAGCAGUGGGGAAUUUUGGACAAUGGGGGCAACCCUGAUCCAGCCAUGCCGCGUGCGGGAAGAAGGCCUUCGGGUUGUAAACCGCUUUUGGUCGGGACGAAAGGGCCGAGGCUAAUAUCCUUGGUUGUUGACGGUACCGGCAGAAUAAGCACCGGCUAACUACGUGCCAACAGCCGCGGUAAUACGUAGGGUGCGAGCGUUAAUCGGAAUUACUGGGCGUAAAGCGUGCGCAGGCGGUGAGUUAAGUCUGCUGUGAAAGCCCCGGGCUCAACCUGGGAAUGGCAGUGGAAACUGGCUCGCUGGAGUGUGGCAGA
RNAcentral lists this ribosomal RNA (606 nucleotides) under uncultured bacterium. Its description in RNAcentral is "bacterial SSU rRNA". It matches the Rfam family "Bacterial small subunit ribosomal RNA", at positions 56 to 655 of the family's 1533-position model. The record is from RNAcentral.